This 506-nucleotide ribosomal RNA is filed under the name uncultured bacterium. RNAcentral's name for it is "bacterial SSU rRNA". It matches the Rfam family "Bacterial small subunit ribosomal RNA", at positions 28 to 533 of the family's 1533-position model. The record is from RNAcentral.
GAUGAACGCUGGCGGCGUGCCUCAAACAUGCAAGUCGAGCGGGGCUAUGUAAUAUCGCAAGGUAGAACAUAGCCUAGCGGCGAACGGGUGAGUAACACGUGGGUAACCUGCCUGGAAGACAGGGAUAACGAUUCGAAAGGGUCGCUAAUACCUGAUAAUAUCCUUUCAUCGCAUGGUGAUAGGAAGAAAGGGGAAACCCGCUUUCAGAUGGGCCCGCGUCCCAUCAGCUAGUUGGUAAGGUAAAGGCUUACCAAGGCGACGACGGGUAGCCGGUCUGAGAGGAUGUACGGCCACACUGGGACUGAGAUACGGCCCAGACUCCUACGGGAGGCAGCAGUUGGGAAUCUUAGGCAAUGGACGAAAGUCUGACCUAGCGACGCCGCGUGAGGGAAGAAGGCCUUCGGGUUGUAAACCUCUGUCAUGGGGGAAGAAGGAAGUGACGGUACCCCAAGAGGAAGCCCCUGCUAACUACGUGCCAGCCAGCCGCGGUAAUACCACUGUACAGU